GACGAACGCUGGCGGCGUGCUUAACACAUGCAAGUCGAACGGUGAAGCGCCUUCCUUUUUGGUGGGUGUGGAUGAGUGGCGAACGGGUGAGUAGCACGUGAGUAACCUGCCCCCUUCUUCUGGAUAACCGCAUGAAAGUGUGGCUAAUACGGGAUAUUCUGGGUCUGUCGCAUGAUGGGUCUGGGAAAGAUUUUGUUUCGGUGGGGGAUGGGCUCGCGGCCUAUCAGCUUGUUGGUGGGGUGAUGGCCUACCAAGGCGGUGACGGGUAGCCGGCCUGAGAGGGUGGACGGUCACACUGGUACUGCGACACGGCCCAGACUCCUACGGGAGGCAGCAGUGGGGAAUAUUGCACGAUGGGCGCAAGCCUGAUGCAGCGACGCGGCGGGGGGGAUGGAGGCCUUCGGGUUGUGAACCUCUUUCGCCAGUGAAGCAGGCCUGCCUCGUUUGUGGGUGGGUUGACGGUAGCUGGAUAAGAAGCGCCGGCUAACUACGUG
Molecule: ribosomal RNA, 494 nt
Filed under: uncultured bacterium
Lineage: Bacteria
Description: partial 16S ribosomal RNA
Rfam family: Bacterial small subunit ribosomal RNA
Source: RNAcentral